GAUGAAGAACGUAGCGAAAUGCGAUAAGUAAUGUGAAUUGCAGAAUUCAGUGAAUCAUCGAAUCUUUGAACGCACAUUGCGCCCGCCAGUAUUCUGGUGGGCAUGCCUGUUCGAGCGUCAUUUCAACCAUCAAGCCCCCGGGCUUGUGUUGGGGACCUGCGGCUGCCGCAGGCCCUGAAAACCAGUGGCGGGCUCGCUAGUCACUCCGAGCGUAGUAGUUACAUCUCGCUCAGGGCGUGCUGCGGGUUCCGGCCGUUAAAAGCCUUUUACCCCAAGGUUGACCUCGGAUCAGGUAGGAAGACCCGCUGAACUUAAGCAUAUCAAUAAGCGGAGGA
This 335-nucleotide unclassified non-coding RNA is filed under the name soil metagenome. RNAcentral's name for it is "partial contains 5.8S ribosomal RNA, internal transcribed spacer 2, and large subunit ribosomal RNA". The stretch from base 1 to 120 matches the Rfam family "5.8S ribosomal RNA", at positions 35 to 154 of the family's 154-position model. The record is from RNAcentral.